Non-coding RNA from Acanthosepion pharaonis, 110 nucleotides. The record is from the annotation of a GenBank genome assembly. Lineage: Eukaryota; Metazoa; Mollusca; Cephalopoda; Sepiida; Sepiidae.
GGUCACAUCAAGUUGAAACAUCGGUUCCCGUACGAUCACCGAAGUUAAGCAACGUCGAACCUGAUCAGUACCUAGAUGGGUGAGCGCUUGGGAAUACCAUGUACUGUAAG